AGAACAAAAAAAAUGUGCAUCGAAACGAAGAAUGAAGAAGCUUAAGCUUUACUUUCAAAGUGGGGUCAGGAUCGGGAGAGAUGAGGAUGUCAACGAGGGAGCUAACAAGGGUGUCAAACUUGGAGCGGAGCCAGGUCUUGUAGAUGAUUUCAGCAUCGUCGUUGGAAUGAGGAGUCUUGGAGGAGGUGGAGGAAGAAGGGAGUUGAGGGAGGAGAGGAGUGAAGAACGACUGGAGAGAGAGAAGGGAUUCAAGAACGAACUGAGGAGGUGAUUCAGGGAAGAUGAACUCGAGGAGGAGAGGGAGGUUGUUGACGUGACUUCUGGAAGAGAGCAGCUGCUGGCCGAGAGCUUUGAGUUCCUUAAGUGAGUGCUUGGACUUCGAUUUAUUCUUGGACUUCUGCUUCUUGUUCGCCGGACUAGUCAUGUUUUACGUCGACGGAAGCGGCAGGGAGGAGAUGAGAGUUGGAAGUACGAACGGAAGAUGGGAGGGUUUUAGGUUUUGCUUUCAGGUCGUUGGUAGGAGGAGGAAAGGGUAAGUGGUUUAGGCUUUAUUUUUGGCAAUUAACAGAAAUAUUGAGCUUUUUAGUUUUCGGUCAAUUCAUUAGUCCGGCCCAAAAGUGAAAGGCAUUGAUUGUGUAAACUGGGCCGGCCAUUCCUGGUGGUGGUGGUAUCGGUAUAUCAAAUGCGACUCCCACUAUCAAUAUAUUUGAUAAGAAUUUAACUGAUAUUGUUGUCGGUCAUUUUGUCUCUUAAUUACCCCUUCGACUUCCAUUGGAGUAUGUCUCUUCCUCCAAUCUCAAGGGCUUACAGUAGAGUUUUCGGCCACCACCUCUCCAAUUUUCUCAUGGUGGGUGUCGGCUGUCCGAGCCAUCAUCGUCCCACAGCGAUUUUCCUUGGCAUCAUCCCUAAUUUCUAGGGUUUUUUACUCUGGCAGUUGGUUCUGGGCGGUUUCCAUGGGAGUUAUCCCAAUGCUUAUAAUUGGCUCCAGUAUGGAGGCAUUGCCGUCUCAAAUUUCCAAUAUGGUCAUUUCAAUGGACUUUACCGAAGCGAAUGUGCAAUCCAGUAGGGACCGAUGCAAAUUGAGCCUCAUCGGGUAAGUUUUCUAGCCCAUGCUGAAACCAACGCAUGCUGUUCAUCAAGAAAUGGUGCGGCAGUGGAAAUUGAAUCCGUGGGAUUUGUUUGUCUCCUCUGCAGGGCAUGGUCUCUUGCAAUUUGUUUUCUUGACUCUGGCAAUUCGAGACUCGAUUCUUCAGGACUAGUUGUGGAGUUCCAAGUCAUGCAUUGUCACUCUGGCUCCGUGGGAACUUCCAUCACAGGACCUUUUUGAUAAACUACAAUUCAUGGAUAUGACAAUUCAACUGGUGGUCCCCACUCACUAUUGUUCGGCGGAUUUUGGCGCUAAGCUUGUUAGUUCGCUGGGUUUGGUGCAACAAACAGCGGUAUAUGAAUCCCUACUAUUUGAAUAUGAAUCCCCUAUUAUUUGAAUGAAUGAGACGUAGCCUAAAUUAAGUAAAUUACUAAAUUAUUUUUUAAUGAAUUUUGAAAACUUAUACGAACUUUAAUUUUCGAUAAAGUUAAUCAUUCUCAUGUUCAUGGCGAUAACUCGUACAUCCAACCGAUACUUUAAGUAUUGAAAUUAACGAAUCGAUCUAAACGAAUUAAGAGAUUUAAUUAAAUUUGAAAUAAAAUUAAAAAAUAAAACCGAACAGACCAACCGGACGGACCGAUUUUCCCUCCGGUCAGACUAUCCGAACGGAGCGAUUUUCCGUUCGGUCAGACCACCCGGACGGAAAUCCGGUCCUUCUGGUUAUUCUCGUCGUAAUUUGUCCUCGACAUGAAUAUGAAAGUUGUAGUCAAUCGAACUAGCUUUCCAAUGCUGCCGUUCUUGCAUAAAUUAGACUUCAGAACGAUCAGUUAUGUUAAAAAUACUAAACUAAAACGUUUUUCGACCAAGCCGUUUAUUAGAGUUAGUGUUUAGGGUUUAGGGUUUAGGGUUGAGGGGUUAUUGUUUAGGGUUUAGGGUUUAGAGGUUAGUGUUUAGGAUUUAGGGUUUAGAUUUUAGUGGUUAGGGUUUAGGGUUUAGGGUUUAGAGUUUAGAGUUUAGGGUUCAGGGUUUAGGGUUUAACCAAGUCUGGAAGAUACGCCAACAGGUAGGAAACUAGAGCUACUUACAAUGUUGUGGAUUAACCUGUGAUAUAUGGCAGAAUGAAACGUCCCUCUAUUCCCAACCUUAACAAACUCCAUGAUCGAAUCCAAAACAACUUCCUGGAAUAAAAGCAAAUUCCAGCAGGGUGAGCAGAAGAACAAAAAAAAUGUGCAUCGAAACGAAGAAUGAAGAAGCUUAAGCUUUACUUUCAAAGUGGGGUCAGGAUCGGGAGAGAUGAGGAUGUCAACGAGGGAGCUAACAAGGGAGUCACACUUGGAGCGGAGCCAGGUCUUGUAGAUGAUUUCAGCAUCGUCGUUGGAAUGAGGAGUCUUGGAGGAGGUGGAGGAAGAAGGGAGUUGAGGGAGGAGAGGAGUGAAGAACGACUGGAGAGAGAGAAGGGAUUCAAGAACGAGCUGAGGAGGUGAUUCAGGGAAGAUGAACUCGAGGAGGAGAGGGAGGUUGUUGACGUGACUUCUGGAAGAGAGCAGCUGCUGGCCGAGAGCUUUGAGUUCCUUAAGUGAGUGCUUGGACUUCGAUUUAUUCUUGGACUUCUGCUUCUUGUUCGCCGGACUAGUCAUGUUUUACGUCGACGGAAGCGGCAGGGAGGAGAUGAGAGUUGGAAGUACGAACGGAAGAUGGGAGGGUUUUAGGUUUUGCUUUCAGGUCGUUGGUAGGAGGAGGAAAGGGUAAGUGGUUUAGGCUUUAU
This 2852-nucleotide long non-coding RNA is filed under the name Linum usitatissimum (flax). RNAcentral's name for it is "long non-coding RNA (LUSI_LNC005582)". The record is from RNAcentral. Lineage: Eukaryota; Viridiplantae; Streptophyta; Magnoliopsida; Malpighiales; Linaceae.